UACGAAGGGUGCAAGCGUUACUCGGAAUUACUGGGCGUAAAGCGUGCGCAGGCGGUUUUGUAAGACAGAUGUGAAAUCCCCGGGCUCAACCUGGGAACUGCGUUUGUGACUGCAAGACUCGAGUGCGGCAGAGGGGGGUGGAAUUCCACGUGUAGCAGUGAAAUGCGUAGAGAUGUGGAGGAACACCGAUGGCGAAGGCAGCCCCCUGGGUCGACACUGACGCUCAUGCACGAAAGCGUGGGGAGCAAACAGG
Molecule: ribosomal RNA, 253 nt
Filed under: uncultured bacterium
Lineage: Bacteria
Description: partial 16S ribosomal RNA
Rfam family: Bacterial small subunit ribosomal RNA
Source: RNAcentral